This 408-nucleotide ribosomal RNA is filed under the name bacterium. Its description in RNAcentral is "bacterial SSU rRNA". It matches the Rfam family "Bacterial small subunit ribosomal RNA", at positions 354 to 776 of the family's 1533-position model. The record is from RNAcentral.
GUGGGGAAUAUUGCACAAUGGGCGAAAGCCUGAUGCAGCAACGCCGCGUGAAGGAAGAAGGGUUUCGGCUCGUAAACUUCUAUCAACAGGGACGAAAAAAAUGACGGUACCUGAAUAAGAAGCCCCGGCUAACUACGUGCCAGCAGCCGCGGUAAUACGUAGGGGGCAAGCGUUAUCCGGAAUUACUGGGUGUAAAGGGAGAGUAGGCGGCAUGGUAAGUUAGAUGUGAAAGCCCGAGGCUUAACCUCGGGAUUGCAUUUAAAACUAUCAAGCUAGAGUACAGGAGAGGUAAGUGGAAUUCCUAGUGUAGCGGUGAAAUGCGUAGAUAUUAGGAAGAACACCAGUGGCGAAGGCGACUUACUGGACUGAAACUGACGCUGAGGCUCGAAAGCGUGGGGAGCGAACAGG